This 254-nucleotide ribosomal RNA is filed under the name uncultured bacterium. RNAcentral describes it as "partial 16S ribosomal RNA". It matches the Rfam family "Bacterial small subunit ribosomal RNA", at positions 524 to 776 of the family's 1533-position model. The record is from RNAcentral.
CACGUAGGCACCAAGCGUUGUCCGGAUUUAUUGGGCGUAAAGAGCUCGUAGGCGGUUGAGUAAGUCGGGUGUGAAAACUCUGGGCUUAACCCAGAGCCGCCACCCGAUACUGCUCUGACUUGAGUUCGGUAGGGGAGCAGGUAAUUCCUAGUGUAGCGGUGAAAUGCGCAGAUAUUAGGAGGAACACCGGUGGCGAAGGCGCUGCUCUGGGCCGAUACUGACGCUGAGGAGCGAAAGCGUGGGUAGCAAACAGG